AUUGUUAUAACGUGUUUUAGCUAUUAAGCACUAAUGUGAGGCGGGGAAUGCAGAUAAAUAGGAUGGUUAUCAUAGAGGUAAUACCAGCUUAUUUUUAGGCGAAUAAUAAAAAACCCAAGACGAAUAAAUCGCUUGGGUUUUUUGAUAUUUAA
RNAcentral lists this unclassified non-coding RNA (152 nucleotides) under Moritella viscosa. RNAcentral's name for it is "putative sRNA". Lineage: Bacteria; Pseudomonadati; Pseudomonadota; Gammaproteobacteria; Alteromonadales; Moritellaceae. The record is from RNAcentral.